Molecule: ribosomal RNA, 506 nt
Filed under: uncultured bacterium
Lineage: Bacteria
Description: bacterial SSU rRNA
Rfam family: Bacterial small subunit ribosomal RNA
Source: RNAcentral
AUGAACGCUAGCGACAGGCCUAACACAUGCAAGUCGAGGGGCAUCGGGGCGUAGCAAUACGCUGCCGGCGACCGGCGGAUGGGUGAGUAACGCGUAUGCAACCUACCUUCAGCAGGGGGAUAGCCCGUUGAAAGACGGAUUAAUACCCCAUAACACAGGGGCUCCGCAUGGAGAUUAUUGUUAAAGGGAUGCUUCCUUCGGGGAGUAUCCGGCUGCAGAUGGGCAUGCGUUCCAUUAGGUAGUUGGUUGAGGUAACGGCUCACCAAGCCUACGAUGGAUAGGGGAACUGAGAGGUUGGUCCCCCCACACUGGUACUGAGACACGGACCAGACUCCUACGGGAGGCAGCAGUGAGGAAUCUUGGUCAAUGGACGGAAGUCUGAACCAGCCAUGUCGCGUGAAGGAGGACGGCCCUAAGGGUUGUAAACUUCUUUUGCAGGGGAAUAAAGUAUUCUACGAGAUGGGAUAUUGCAAGUACGCUGCGAAUAAGGAUCGGCUAACUCCGUG